AUUGAACGCUGGCGGCAGGCCUAACACAUGCCAGUCGAACGGUAACAGGAAGAAGCUUGCUUCUUUGCUGACGAGUGGCGGACGGGUGAGUAAUGUCUGGGAAACUGCCUGAUGGAGGGGGAUAACUACUGGAAACGGUAGCUAAUACCGCAUAACGUCGCAAGACCAAAGAGGGGGACCUUCGGGCCUCUUGCCAUCGGAUGUGCCCAGAUGGGAUUAGCUAGUAGGUGGGGUAACGGCUCACCUAGGCGACGAUCCCUAGCUGGUCUGAGAGGAUGACCAGCCACACUGGAACUGAGACACGGUCCAGACUCCUACGGGAGGCAGCAGUGGGGAAUAUUGCACAAUAGGCGCAAGCCUGAUGCAGCCAUGCCGCGUGUAUGAAGAAGGCCUUCGGGUUGUAAAGUACUUUCAGCGGGGAGGAAGGGAGUAAAGUUAAUACCUUUGCUCAUUGACGUUACCCGCAGAAGAAGCACCGGCUAACUCCGUG
This 490-nucleotide ribosomal RNA is filed under the name uncultured bacterium. RNAcentral's name for it is "partial 16S ribosomal RNA". It matches the Rfam family "Bacterial small subunit ribosomal RNA", at positions 30 to 507 of the family's 1533-position model. The record is from RNAcentral.